Molecule: ribosomal RNA, 254 nt
Filed under: uncultured bacterium
Lineage: Bacteria
Description: partial 16S ribosomal RNA
Rfam family: Bacterial small subunit ribosomal RNA
Source: RNAcentral
UACGAAGGGGGCUAGCGUUGCUCGGAAUGACUGGGCGUAAAGGGCGCGUAGGCGGAUUGUUCAGUCAGGCGUGAAAUUCCCGGGCUCAACCUGGGGGCUGCGCUUGAGACGUGCGAUCUUGAGUGGGGAAGAGGGUCGUGGAAUUCCCAGUGUAGAGGUGAAAUUCGUAGAUAUUGGGAAGAAAACCGGUGGCGAAGGCGGCGACCUGGUCCUUUUACUGACGCUGAGGCGCGAAAGCGUGGGGAGCAAACAGG